CAGACUUUAAAUAGUCUUUGGUUUGUUCUCCUCAUUGUGAGAAUACCUUGCCACAACCAAACAACAUGCCUGCACCAGCUCCAAACCCUGAGGACCAUUGUCCAGUGAGCACGAAAAAUACGACGGGAGUCCUAACUUGUUGUAGGUAUGGCUACCAGCCCCCUCUUAUGCCAUGGACAGCCACUCCUUCUGAGGUUCCUGCUGCCUGGAUGUCCUGGAUGUCUCGUAGCAAACAGGUUUGGGAGAAGGCCCCUCAAUGGAUUGAAGCCGUACUCCGGAGACAGAAACAUCAAGCUGAUCAGUGACGUGGCGACUUCCUAUACCAUCGGAGACCGAGUACUUCUGCCCAAGUAUAU
Molecule: long non-coding RNA, 356 nt
Organism: Pygocentrus nattereri (red-bellied piranha)
Lineage: Eukaryota; Metazoa; Chordata; Actinopteri; Characiformes; Serrasalmidae
Exons: 3
Source: RefSeq, a predicted model, not a curated record